GCCCAGGAGGCGUGGCUCGCAGCCUCAGGGUUUGUGGUAAUAGGCUAAGUUUCCCGGUUGUCUCUGGCCAAUCAUCUUGUUUGUUCCCGUAUUUGGUCCGACUCAGGGCCUCCCUCGCUGCGGACUCAGUCAAGAUGAGUUCCAGCGCCAGAGCUUCUGGGAGGACAUAUUAUAGGCUGACAUCGCCUUCUGCUUUGGCUCCUCCCGAGUUCUUCUGGUCUGGCAGCAGCUUGUCUGCACUGUGUUCUUUAUCAGGACCUCCUGUUGAGAAACAACUCGUACAAAGGGUUACUGUCGUGCCUGAUUGGGUGAGACCACACAAACUCAAGUGUCAGAGUUUGAAGCAGAGAAAAAUGUGUUGCAAGGUCACGCAAGGCCCAAGCACCCUGAAGGGUUUUGGCAAAGCACUUUUAAAAGCCAGAUGAAGGAGGGGGAUUUGCAGGAACUGCUACUGUGGCCAUUUGUGACCAGCUGAGGAUGAAGCCAGUGCUGGAGAGGACAGAGAGAAGAGCUCGAAAGAACCUGGCUUCUUCAUAACAUUGCUGAGUGGCUGGAUCCACCUGCCUUUGAAGCUCUUGAUCUCUCUGCCAACUUUCAUGUUACCUGAGAUAAUAAACUCUUUAU
Bos taurus (domestic cattle) is the source of this 624-nucleotide long non-coding RNA. NCBI's taxonomy places the organism in Eukaryota, Metazoa, Chordata, Mammalia, Artiodactyla, Bovidae. The record is from Ensembl.